RNAcentral lists this ribosomal RNA (483 nucleotides) under uncultured organism. RNAcentral describes it as "bacterial SSU rRNA". It matches the Rfam family "Bacterial small subunit ribosomal RNA", at positions 28 to 507 of the family's 1533-position model. The record is from RNAcentral.
GAUGAACGCUGGCGGCGUGCCUAACACAUGCAAGUCGAACGAAGCUCUCUUGUUUAAGACUUCGGUCAAGAAGAAGAGAUGACUUAGUGGCGGACGGGUGAGUAAUGCGUGAGCAACCUGCCUCGGAGUGGGGGACAACAGUUGGAAACGACUGCUAAUACCGCAUAACGUGCAGAGGGGACAUCCCUUUUGCACCAAAGAUUUAUCGCUCUGAGAUGGGCUCACGUCUGAUUAGUUAGUUGGUGAGGUAACGGCUCACCAAGACUGCGAUCAGUAGCCGGACUGAGAGGUUGAACGGCCACAUUGGGACUGAGAUACGGCCCAGACUCCUACGGGAGGCAGCAGUGGGGAAUAUUGGGCAAUGGGCGAAAGCCUGACCCAGCAACGCCGCGUGAAGGAAGAAGGCCUUCGGGUUGUAAACUUCUUUUAUGAGGGACGAAAAAAAUGACGGUACCUCAUGAAUAAGCCACGGCUAACUACGUG